AGGACGAACGCUGGCGGCGUGCUUAACACAUGCAAGUCGAGCGGAAAGGCCCUUCGGGGUACUCGAGCGGCGAACGGGUGAGUAACACGUGAGCAACCUGCCCUUAGCUCCGGGAUAGCUCCGGGAAACCGGAAUUAAUACCGGAUACAACACCGGCCGACAUCGGCCGGUGUGGAAAGAAUUUCGGCUAGGGAUGGACUCGCGGCCUAUCAGCUAGUUGGUGGGGUAAAGGCCUACCAAGGCGACGACGGGUAGCCGGCCUGAGAGGGCGACCGGCCACACUGGGACUGAGACACGGCCCAGAGUCCUACGAGAUGCAGCAGUCAGGAAUAUUGCGCAAUGGAGGAAACUCUGACGCAGCGACGCCGCGUGGGUGAUGAAGGCCUUCGGGUCGUAAAGCCCUGUCGGAGGGGAAGAAAGCGGUUUGGCUAAUAUCCAAGCCGCUCUUGACGGUACCCUCAAAGGAAGCACCGGCUAACUCCGCGCCAGCAGCCGC
RNAcentral lists this ribosomal RNA (496 nucleotides) under uncultured bacterium. Its description in RNAcentral is "SSU rRNA". It matches the Rfam family "Bacterial small subunit ribosomal RNA", at positions 26 to 518 of the family's 1533-position model. The record is from RNAcentral.